CGGUAUCAUGUCACGUAUAUAAAGCACUUCACUCUGAUAUUUUAUUAACAUAAAAAAAUUAAGCUAAAGUUUGCAGGGAGUUAGAAAAUAUGGUACCGAUAACCACCUACUUCUUGUUAUUCAUCUCCUCUGUUUUCUACGUUUUUUGGGAUACUCGAGUUGUGCUAGAAGAUUAUGCUGCUCGUCAAGAUCGUCUUGGGUUUCCAUUGACUUACACCAUCAGCCACCAUGACUAUCCAAUCAUUAUGUGAAUUUCCAUAGCUGCAUGCAUGUGAUCUCUUCUUUUUCCACUGUCCACUUUUAGAUGUAGAUCACAACUUAGUGUAUCUCUGGAUUAACAUCGACUUAACAAAAUUUCGGUGAUACUGUGAUUUUGUAGAAACUACAAAAUGUAAUUUAUAUCAAAAUUGCAGUGAUUUACUGCAAUUUUGUUAAUUUUACCGUUAAUUUAAAAUUUCUUUUAGAUAAAUUUUAGUAAAUUAGUAGCUUACAUUAGUUUUAGUUUUAAGAUAUGUGUAGUUAUAAUUAGUCCUGCAGAUAGAAUCGUGUUGUUGAAGUGAAUUCUAGAGGUAGUAGCUAGUGUAUUUUUCGCUAUGGUUUGUCUCUGAAUCGUCAAGUAAGUUUUUUUUAUUGUAAUCACAAGUUGAUUGCUUUUGUUUAUUUAUGAGUCUCUCUAACAAAAUAUUUUUCUUUUUAAAUGUUUGAGGUAGAUAUUUGAUUCUCGGAAUUUGAACUCAUUUAAAACAGAAAUAUUUUGAUAUUAAAUUUGGAAUUUCUUUUUGCCUUAGAAAUGUUAAACUUAGAACACAACUCGGAGAUUAUUG
Molecule: long non-coding RNA, 824 nt
Filed under: Cicer arietinum (chickpea)
Lineage: Eukaryota; Viridiplantae; Streptophyta; Magnoliopsida; Fabales; Fabaceae
Description: long non-coding RNA (CARI_LNC001017)
Source: RNAcentral